CCCUUAGACGCUCUAGGCGGCACGCGCGCUACAAUGGAUGGUAGAACGUGUAACUGCUCCCGAAAGGGAGGGUGAACCACGAAUACUUACCCGUGAAUGGGAUAGUUUGUUGCAAUUUUCGGACUUGAACUAGGAAUCCCUUGUAAGAAUGCUCAAGAAUAGCGUGCUGAAUACGUCCCUGCCGUUUGUACACACCGCCCGUCGUUUCUUCCGACUGAUACUCAUUGUGAGUUGCAAGGAUUCUUAUUGAAAAAUUGCUGCGAAUGCUUUGUAUUGGAGGAAGAAAAAGUCGUAACA
RNAcentral lists this ribosomal RNA (297 nucleotides) under uncultured eukaryote. Its description in RNAcentral is "partial 18S ribosomal RNA". It matches the Rfam family "Eukaryotic small subunit ribosomal RNA", at positions 1470 to 1796 of the family's 1831-position model. The record is from RNAcentral.